Molecule: ribosomal RNA, 610 nt
Filed under: uncultured bacterium
Lineage: Bacteria
Description: bacterial SSU rRNA
Rfam family: Bacterial small subunit ribosomal RNA
Source: RNAcentral
AGAGUUUGAUCAUGGCUCAGGAUAAACGCUGGCGGCAUGCCUAAUACAUGCAAGUCGAACGAACAUAGUAAUAUGUUAGUGGCGAACGGGUGAGUAACACGUAAGUAACCAACCUUCAAGACGAGGAUAACCACUGGAAACGGUAGCUAAAACUGGAUAGGAUAUUUUAUCAUAAGAUGGGAUAUUUAAAAGCGCUGUAAGGCGCUACUUGAAGCUGGGCUUGCGGCGCAUUAGAUAGUUGGUGAGGUAACGGCCCACCAAGUCAACGAUGCGUAGCAGCGCUGAGAGGCGGAACUGCCACACUGGGACUGAGACACGGCCCAGACUCCUACGGGAGGCAGCAGUAGGGAAUUUUCGGCAAUGGGGGGAACCCUGACCGAGCAAUGCCGCGUGAAUGAAGAAGGUCUUCGGAUUGUAAAAUUCUGUUAUUGGGAAAGAAUAUCAUAAUCAGGAAAUGGGUUAUGAAUGACGGUACCCGAUUAGAAAGCCCCGGCUAACUACGUGCCAGCAGCCGCGGUAAUACGUAGGGGGCGAGCGUUAUCCGGAUUUAUUGGGCGUAAAGCGUGUGUAGGCGGUUUAUUAAGUCAGGCGUAAAAGAUCACAGCUCAAC